Molecule: ribosomal RNA, 301 nt
Filed under: uncultured bacterium
Lineage: Bacteria
Description: partial 16S ribosomal RNA
Rfam family: Bacterial small subunit ribosomal RNA
Source: RNAcentral
CAGCCGCCGCGGUAAUACGAGGGGGGCAUGCGUUGUUCGGAAUUAUUGGGCGUAAAGGGUGCGUAGGCGGCUUGACAAGUCUUGUGUGAAAUCUAUGGGCUCAACCCAUAGUCUGCACGGGAAACUGUCGGGCUUGAGAAUGGGAGAGGUGAGUGGAAUUUCCGGUGUAGCGGUGAAAUGCGUAGAUAUCGGAAGGAACACCUGUGGCGAAAGCGGCUCACUGGACCAUUUCUGACGCUGAUGCACGAAAGCUAGGGGAGCAAACAGGAUUAGAUACCCCAGUAGUCCCUGUCUCUUAUAC